Molecule: ribosomal RNA, 253 nt
Filed under: uncultured bacterium
Lineage: Bacteria
Description: partial 16S ribosomal RNA
Rfam family: Bacterial small subunit ribosomal RNA
Source: RNAcentral
UACGGAGGAUCCGAGCGUUAUCCGGAUUUAUUGGGUUUAAAGGGUGCGUAGGCGGUUUGAUAAGUUAGAGGUGAAAUGUCGGGGCUCAACCCCGAAACUGCCUCUAAUACUGUUGGACUAGAGAAUAGUUGCGGUAGGCGGAAUGUAUGGUGUAGCGGUGAAGUGCUUAGAGAUCAUACAGAACACCGAUUGCGAAGGCAGCUUACCAAACUAUAUCUGACGUUGAGGCACGAAAGCGUGGGUAGCAAACAGG